This 460-nucleotide ribosomal RNA is filed under the name uncultured bacterium. RNAcentral describes it as "partial 16S ribosomal RNA". It matches the Rfam family "Bacterial small subunit ribosomal RNA", at positions 338 to 795 of the family's 1533-position model. The record is from RNAcentral.
CCUACGGGGGGCUGCAGUGAGGAAUAUUGGUCAAUGGACGAGAGUCUGAACCAGCCAAGUAGCGUGAAGGAUGACUGCCCUAUGGGUUGUAAACUUCUUUUAUCUGGGAAUAAAAUGUUCCACGUGUGGGAUUUUGUAUGUACCAUAUGAAUAAGGAUCGGCUAACUCCGUGCCAGCAGCCGCGGUAAUACGGGGGAUCCGAGCGUUAUCCGGAUUUAUUGGGUUUAAAGGGAGCGUAGGUGGAUUGUUAAGUCAGUUGUGAAAGUUUGCGGCUCAACCGUAAAAUUGCAGUUGAAACUGGCAGUCUUGAGUACAGUAGAGGUGUGCGGAAUUCGUGGUGUAGCGGUGAAAUGCUUAGAUAUCACGAAGAACUCCGAUUGCGAAGGCAGUUCACUGGACUGCAACUGACACUGAGGCUCGAAAGUGUGGGUAUCAAACAGGAUUAGAUACCCGUGUAGUC